This 55-nucleotide ribosomal RNA is filed under the name Peronia sp. UF 352288. RNAcentral describes it as "partial 5.8S ribosomal RNA". Lineage: Eukaryota; Metazoa; Mollusca; Gastropoda; Systellommatophora; Onchidiidae. The record is from RNAcentral. RNAcentral also lists the same sequence under 2 other names.
CGCAUAUGGCGGCCUCGGGUCAAUCCCGGGGCCACGCCCGUCUGAGGGUCGGCGA